Lynx canadensis (Canada lynx) is the source of this 979-nucleotide long non-coding RNA. RefSeq lists it as uncharacterized. The record is from RefSeq and is a predicted model, not a curated record. The transcript has 4 exons. Lineage: Eukaryota; Metazoa; Chordata; Mammalia; Carnivora; Felidae.
GGUCGCACUGGGAGACCCGGUGCCUGCCUUCUAUCCUGACAACCCUCACUGCAACCAGGGUGAGCACGUUGGGUUCUCCAGGAAGGAGGCUCUGAGACGGACAUUAGCAUGGAGGAGGUUUACUAGCAGAAGAUAAGAGGGGAAAGCUGGCUCGGGAAGAGGGAAAGGUCAAGUUGUAAUGUGAUCUCCACUGAAGCUUUAGCUGGCCUCUAGCUCCGAAGAAAAGAAGACCUUCCAGUGGUGUUCUGAGUCUGGGAAGAACCGAGGGGAGAGAGGGAAAGAGGUUAAGAUGAAAACAGAAAAAUCUCCCCUGUGGAAGUGACAUUUAUGUGACUUGAAGGAGGAAGAGGAGAGAGUCAGCAGCCAUCACCAGACAUCUGGCUUUGGAAGCAGUUUUGCUGAAGAGAACACAACCUGUGCCACUGAAUCCAAACAGCAUUCAUUCUUGGUGGUCGCGAGCAUCCUUGCAUCCAGAGAAAGGAAUCACUUUGCUAUUUUUUAUGGUUUAAUUAUAUUAUUGCAUAAAACAUUUUGGCUGUAUAAUUUUCUGGACUUCCCUGUUUUACAACCAAUAAUCCCGCUGAAAUGUGAAAUGUACCUAAAAUUAACAAAGACAGUGUCUCAUCCCACAUCUCUGAUUUCAUUUAGGCUUGAAGAAGUAGUCCAACAUCACACAGAGUACAAAGCACGGGAACAGAGAGACCUAGGUUUGCUCCCAGCUCUGUGCCGCAAAGUCACUCAUUGGUGACCUGAAGUAAGCCACAAUAGUUGUCUCAGUCUUAGACUGUGUUGUUCUUUGAAUGAUGCCAUAGAAUUAGAUCAUCUCCAAGGGCCCUGGUAGCUCUAACACUCUACUGCUGAACUCACGCUGACACCUGAGACAGACUCAUGAGACUUAUCUUCAAGUUUUCAUUCUUAUAAUGAUAUGUGGAUGACUAGGGGCUGAAAUAUUGGGAAGAUACCAUGGAAACUUUCUCAU